AGUCGAUAAGAGGCGUUUAAUCCAAGAUGUCCGAAUGGGGAAACCCAGUAGGUGAAGAACCUACUAUCACCCAGUGAAUACAUAGCUGUGUGAGGCAAACCGGGAGAACUGAAACAUCUAAGUACCCCGAGGAAAAGAAAUCAACCGAGAUUUCGUUAGUAGCGGCGAGCGAACGCGAAAGAGCCAGUUAGUGAUAGCAGUAAAGUUAGGGGAAUGUUCUGGGAAGGACAAUCGUAGAGGGUGAUAAUCCCGUACCUUAAAACUCCAUUGUGGUACUAGGCUAACAACAAGUAGGGCGGGACACGUGAUAUCCUGUUUGAAGAUGGGGGGACCAUCCUCCAAGGCUAAAUACUCCUGAUUGACCGAUAGUGAACCAGUACUGUGAAGGAAAGGUGAAAAGAACCCCGGCGAGGGGAGUGAAAUAGAACCUGAAACCUUGUGCGUACAAGCAGUGGGAGCAAGAGUAAUCUUGUGACUGCGUACCUUUUGUAUAAUGGGUCAGCGACUUAUAUUUUGUAGCAAGGUUAACUGAAUAAGGGAGCCGUAGGGAAACCGAGUCUUAACUGGGCGUGUAGUUGCAAGGUAUAGACCCGAAACCCGGUGAUCUAGCCAUGGGCAGGUUGAAGGUUGGGUAACACUAACUGGAGGACCGAACCGACUAAUGUUGAAAAAUUAGCGGAUGACUUGUGGCUGGGGGUGAAAGGCCAAUCAAACCGGGAGAUAGCUGGUUCUCCCCGAAAUCUAUUUAGGUAGAGCCUUGAGCGGACACCUUCGGGGGUAGAGCACUGUUUCGGCUAGGGGUCCAUCCCGGAUUACCAACCCGAUGCAAACUGCGAAUACCGAAGAGUGAUACUCAGGAGACACACGGUGGGUGCUAACGUCCAUCGUGGAGAGGGAAACAACCCAGACCGCCAGCUAAGGUCCCAAAGUCUAUAUUAAGUGGGAAACGAAGUGGGAAGGCUUAGACAGCUAGGAUGUUGGCUUAGAAGCAGCCACCAUUUAAAGAAAGCGUAAUAGCUCACUAGUCGAGUCGGCCUGCGCGGAAGAUGUAACGGGGCUCAAAUAUAGCACCGAAGCUGCGGCAUCAGACGAAAGUCUGUUGGGUAGGGGAGCGUUGUGUAAGUCGAUGAAGGUGGAUUGAGAAGUCUGCUGGAGAUAUCACAAGUGCGAAUGCUGACAUAAGUAACGAUAAAACGAGUGAAAAACUCGUUCGCCGGAAGACCAAGGGUUCCUGUCCAACGUUAAUCGGGGCAGGGUGAGUCGGCCCCUAAGGCGAGGCUGAAAAGCGUAGUCGAUGGGAAACGGGUUAAUAUUCCCGUACUUGUAAUAACUGCGAUGUGGGGACGGAGAAGGUUAGGUUAGCAGACUGUUGGAUGUCUGUUUAAGCCGGUAGGUGGGAAGAUUAGGCAAAUCCGGUCUUCCUUAACACCGAGAAGUGAUGACGAGUCUCUACGGAGAUGAAGUAAUCGAUACCACGCUUCCAGGAAAAGCCACUAAGCUUCAGGUUAUUAUAAACCGUACUAUAAACCGACACAGGUGGUCAGGUAGAGAAUACUCAGGCGCUUGAGAGAACUCGGGUGAAGGAACUAGGCAAAAUAGCACCGUAACUUCGGGAGAAGGUGCGCCGGCGUAGAUUGUAGUCCCUUGCGGAUGAAGGUUGAACCGGUCGAAGAUACCAGCUGGCUGCAACUGUUUAUUAAAAACACAGCACUCUGCAAACACGAAAGUGGACGUAUAGGGUGUGAUGCCUGCCCGGUGCUGGAAGGUUAAUUGAUGGUGUUAUCGCAAGAGAAGCUCCUGAUCGAAGCCCCAGUAAACGGCGGCCGUAACUAUAACGGUCCUAAGGUAGCGAAAUUCCUUGUCGGGUAAGUUCCGACCUGCACGAAUGGCAUAAUGAUGGCCAGGCUGUCUCCACCCGAGACUCAGUGAAAUUGAAAUCGCCGUGAAGAUGCGGUGUACCCGCGGCUAGACGGAAAGACCCCGUGAACCUUUACUAUAGCUUGACACUGAACAUUGAAUUUUGAUGUGUAGGAUAGGUGGGAGCCUUUGAAGCAGUCACGCCAGUGAUUGUGGAGGCGU
This 2079-nucleotide ribosomal RNA is filed under the name Mannheimia haemolytica. Its description in RNAcentral is "partial 23S ribosomal RNA". It matches the Rfam family "Bacterial large subunit ribosomal RNA", at positions 84 to 2189 of the family's 2925-position model. The record is from RNAcentral. Lineage: Bacteria; Pseudomonadati; Pseudomonadota; Gammaproteobacteria; Pasteurellales; Pasteurellaceae.